This 491-nucleotide ribosomal RNA is filed under the name uncultured bacterium. RNAcentral describes it as "partial 16S ribosomal RNA". It matches the Rfam family "Bacterial small subunit ribosomal RNA", at positions 29 to 507 of the family's 1533-position model. The record is from RNAcentral.
AGUGAACGCUGCGGUAGGCCUAACACAUGCAAGUCGAACGGCAGCACAGUAAGAACUUGCUCUUACGGGUGGCGAGUGGCGGACGGGUGAGGAAUACAUCGGAAUCUACUUUUUCGUGGGGGAUAACGUAGGGAAACUUACGCUAAUACCGCAUACGACCUACGGGUGAAAGCAGGGGAUCUUCGGACCUUGCGCGAUUGAAUGAGCCGAUGUCGGAUUAGCUAGUUGGCGGGGUAAAGGCCCACCAAGGCGACGAUCCGUAGCUGGUCUGAGAGGAUGAUCAGCCACACUGGAACUGAGACACGGUCCAGACUCCUACGGGAGGCAGCAGUGGGGAAUAUUGGACAAUGGGCGCAAGCCUGAUCCAGCCAUACCGCGUGGGUGAAGAAAGCCUUCGGGUUGUAAAGCCCUUUUGUUGGGAAAGAAAUCCAGCCGGCUAAUACCUGGUUGGGAUGACGGUACCCAAAGAAUAAGCACCGGCUAACUUCGUG